Molecule: ribosomal RNA, 468 nt
Filed under: uncultured bacterium
Lineage: Bacteria
Description: partial 16S ribosomal RNA
Rfam family: Bacterial small subunit ribosomal RNA
Source: RNAcentral
GACGAACGCUGGCGGCGUGCUUAACACAUGCAAGUCGAACGGAAAGGCCCUGCUUUUGUGGGGUGCUCGAGUGGCGAACGGGUGAGUAACACGUGAGUAACCUGCCCUUGACUUUGGGAUAACUUCAGGAAACUGGGGCUAAUACCGGAUAGGAGCUCCUGCUGCAUGGUGGGGGUUGGAAAGUUUCGGCGGUUGGGGAUGGACUCGCGGCUUAUCAGCUUGUUGGUGGGGUAGUUGCUUACCAAGGCUUUGACGGGUAGCCGGCCUGAGAGGGUGACCGGCCACAUUGGGACUGAGAGUCGGCCCAGACUCCUACGGGAGGCAGCAGUGGUGAAUAUUGCACGAUGGGCGGAAGCCUGAUGCAGCAACGCCGCGUGCGGGAUGACGGCCUUCUGGUUGUAACCCGCUUUCGCCUGUGACGAAGCGUGAGUGACGGUAAUGGGUAAAGAAGCACCGGCUAACUACGUG